Molecule: long non-coding RNA, 372 nt
Organism: Mus pahari (shrew mouse)
Lineage: Eukaryota; Metazoa; Chordata; Mammalia; Rodentia; Muridae
Exons: 3
Source: RefSeq, a predicted model, not a curated record
UCAUGAGGAGGUAUUGUCUCACACCCAUUAGGAUGGCCACUGUGUAUAGUCCCAGCAGAGCAAAACCAGAGCGUAACCAGGUCUGUGAGGAGAAGGAUGUGCAGGGAUGAAACCUUUGCUGCUGCUGCGGGGACUGAUGCAGUUCUUGGGGAAAGCAGGCCUAUCAGCGACCAGCAGGGGCAACAUCCUGGGGACUUGCUCUUUAGAGGAUGGAGUUCUUCGGCAGGCUGUAACAUCAACUGGAAAGAGGCAGGGUCUUACACCGCAUUCCGGGCCGGCUUGGAACUCAGUGUGUAGCACAGCCUGUCUUCAGUCUUGGAAACUCUCCUGCCCCACACUCCUUUUACUGGCUGGUUUUGUGUCAACUUGACA